RNAcentral lists this long non-coding RNA (1442 nucleotides) under Eucalyptus grandis. RNAcentral's name for it is "long non-coding RNA (EGRA_LNC000150)". Lineage: Eukaryota; Viridiplantae; Streptophyta; Magnoliopsida; Myrtales; Myrtaceae. The record is from RNAcentral.
UUGCCAACUAAAUUUCCCACAUUAAUUCCAAUAAAUUAUAAUAGACGGCACGAGAAAAUUCGGGGGCGAGAAAAAAAAAAAUUAAGUGGGCAAAUUCGAUUUUCGCCUGCGCCUUUACCCAGAAAAAAAAAGGAAAAAUGAGCACAGCCUGGGGGGAAGAGGGAGCCGAAUCAUCGUAAACAAGAAAGCCGGAAAACCGGGUCGAGUAUUAUUAUUCUUACUUUUUGUAUGAUCAACAUGCUUCGAUCGAUGUUCUACGAAACCGAACACCUCCACGUGCGGCUGUCCGGUCGCCGGCUUCCUUCCCUCCCCGUUCCGCUCCGUUCCGUUCCGUUCUCCCAUGUAUGUAGUAAUCAAGAACCGAAGCUACAAAUCCCAACCCCAGAAAAGAAAAGAAAAAGAAAAAGAAAGAGAGAGAGAGAGAGAGAGAGGGUACGAACUUGAAAGAAAAACAAAAAUGGUGCAAAAUGCAUGCCUGGCCUUCCCAUGUACGCCGCUGAAUUUUCCUUUCCUUCUUUUUUUUUUCUUCGCUUUUUUUGGGUCAUUCUUCGGUGGGUGAAAUCUUCUUCACCAUGUCACCAGAAGCAAGAAGCUCGCUCGAGGCCGAAUCCCACGGCGUCUUGCGGCUGAACCAGAAGAGACGCCUCCCUCGUUAGCUCAGCACCGCCCGAAAGAAGAAGCUCCACGGACGGCGGCGGCGGAGGCGAAGGAGACGAGUGGCGCGCCGAGUUGGACAGGAGAGCUCCUCCUUUUCUGUCCUCCAUUGAUGCUGCUGCUGCGGCGGGCUCUCUUUUGCUCUUCGGGUCGGGAGAGGUCGCGAGAAAGUUCGAAGGGAUCGAAGGAGGGAGACGAGAGGCCACGGUAAAGCGACGAACGUUCGAGUUUCCAGAGGACGAAGGACAUAUAAAGGGACACUCUCACAGAGAGAGAGAGAGAGAGAGAGAGGGUGUGUCUCCCCAAGAAGAAGACGAGCGUUUCCCGUUAAUGUUGUUGUCAAAGGGAGUGGGCCAACGAGAAGCCCGCUUUUUGUUUCACACGUUGGGGCGCUUCUCUUUGUCUUCCCCCCAUUCUUUCUCUCUCUCUCUCUCUCUCUACCCACCAGAGUCAAUGGUUUCCGGUUCCUCUAAUCAGAUACCAAGAAUAUUUUAUAAUGCAUCCGGCGCAAUUCCAAUCGUAAUGUUCGGCCCGUGUGAGUUGUAGCCAGUGCGCCGAUCCUAUACAAAACCCUCGACCCUUCUCGUGCCGCCGUCGCGUGAUGUAAGAAAAACACGAUAUGUAUGCGUUCGAGCGACCCAAACGACUUUCUUUUUGCCGUUCAAACGGAGGGCAUGGCUUUGACAGGUCUGGGGAAAACCAAACUCGCCCCGAUUCCAAGAGACAAAAUUCAAUGGCGUGCAUGCGAGGGAGACUUUAAGCGAAUGCUGCGCAAAAGUAAAGCCAUC